RNAcentral lists this transfer RNA (72 nucleotides) under Chloroflexota bacterium. Its description in RNAcentral is "Chloroflexi bacterium tRNA-Ala". It matches the Rfam family "tRNA". From Rfam's summary of the family: Transfer RNA (tRNA) molecules are approximately 80 nucleotides in length. Their secondary structure includes four short double-helical elements and three loops (D, anti-codon, and T loops). Further hydrogen bonds mediate the characteristic L-shaped molecular structure. tRNAs have two regions of fundamental functional importance: the anti-codon, which is responsible for specific mRNA codon recognition, and the 3' end, to which the tRNAs corresponding amino acid is attached (by aminoacyl-tRNA synthetases). tRNAs cope with the degeneracy of the genetic code in two manners: having more than one tRNA (with a specific anti-codon) for a particular amino acid; and 'wobble' base-pairing, i.e. permitting non-standard base-pairing at the 3rd anti-codon position. Lineage: Bacteria; Bacillati; Chloroflexota. The record is from RNAcentral.
GGGCACGUGGCGGAGUGGUUACGCGCCGGGGUAGCAAACCGGGAGACGCGGGUUCGAAUCCCGCCGUGCCCU